UACGAAGGGGGCUAGCGUUGCUCGGAAUUACUGGGCGUAAAGGGCGCGUAGGCGGCACUGUUAGUCAGGCGUGAAAGUCCUGGGCUCAACCUGGGGACUGCGCUUGAUACGGCAGAGCUUGAGGAUGGAAGAGGGUCGCGGAAUUCCCAGUGUAGAGGUGAAAUUCGUAGAUAUUGGGAAGAACACCGGUGGCGAAGGCGGCGACCUGGUCCAUUACUGACGCUGAGGCGCGACAGCGUGGGGAGCAAACAGG
RNAcentral lists this ribosomal RNA (253 nucleotides) under uncultured bacterium. RNAcentral's name for it is "partial 16S ribosomal RNA". It matches the Rfam family "Bacterial small subunit ribosomal RNA", at positions 524 to 776 of the family's 1533-position model. The record is from RNAcentral.